Gossypium arboreum is the source of this 144-nucleotide non-coding RNA. NCBI's taxonomy places the organism in Eukaryota, Viridiplantae, Streptophyta, Magnoliopsida, Malvales, Malvaceae. The record is from Rfam.
UGUUAAAAAUUUCAUCCAUUUUUACUGUUAAAAACUGAUAUUAUUGACAGAAUAACUAAACAUUUACAUUUGAUGUGCCACGUCUACCUCAUUCUAACAUACAAGACCAAUUUUUAACGAUAGAAAUGAAUGGAUUUUUUAAUG